UACGAGGGGAGCAAGCGUUGUUCGGAAUCACUGGGCGUAAAGCGCGUGUAGGCGGCCCACUAAGUCUGAUGUGAAAGCCCGGGGCUCACCCCCGGAAGUGCAUUGGAAACUGGUGGACUCGAGUCCCGGAGAGGAGAGUGGAAUUCCUGGUGUAGCGGUUAAAUGCGUAGAUAUCAGGAGGAACACCGGUGGCGAAGGCGGCUCUCUGGACGGUGACUGACGCUGAGACGCGAAAGCGUGGGGAGCAAACAGG
RNAcentral lists this ribosomal RNA (253 nucleotides) under uncultured bacterium. RNAcentral's name for it is "partial 16S ribosomal RNA". It matches the Rfam family "Bacterial small subunit ribosomal RNA", at positions 524 to 776 of the family's 1533-position model. The record is from RNAcentral.